Non-coding RNA from Vicia faba (fava bean), 276 nucleotides. NCBI's taxonomy places the organism in Eukaryota, Viridiplantae, Streptophyta, Magnoliopsida, Fabales, Fabaceae. The record is from the annotation of a GenBank genome assembly.
AUGCCCCGAGGCUCUUUGAUGGCUAAUAAACCACUAACUUGGCUAGAGAUACAACACAAUAUGAAGGGAGCUUUCAGCAUUGCUGCAAAGACUAAAGUACCAGUGGUACCAAUUACCCUUAUUGGAACUGGCCAAAUCAUGCCAGCAGGAAGGGAGGGUAUAGUUAACACAGGUUUCGUGAAAGUUGUUAUACAUAAACCUAUUGAUGGAAAUGAUGCUGACAUGUUAUGCAAGGAAGCUAGAAAUAAAAUCGCAAGUGUGCUGACUCAAGCCUGA